UACGUAGGGUGCGAGCGUUAAUCGGAAUUACUGGGCGUAAAGCGUGCGCAGGCGGUUUUGUAAGUCAGGUGUGAAAUCCCCGGGCUUAACCUGGGAAUGGCAUUUGGGACUGCAAGGCUUGAGUGCGGCAGAGGAGACUGGAAUUCCUGGUGUAGCAGUGAAAUGCGUAGAUAUCAGGAGGAACACCGAUGGCGAAGGCAGGUCUCUGGGCUGACACUGACGCUCAUGCACGAAAGCGUGGGGAGCAAACAGG
This 253-nucleotide ribosomal RNA is filed under the name uncultured bacterium. Its description in RNAcentral is "partial 16S ribosomal RNA". It matches the Rfam family "Bacterial small subunit ribosomal RNA", at positions 524 to 776 of the family's 1533-position model. The record is from RNAcentral.